This 519-nucleotide ribosomal RNA is filed under the name uncultured Glomus. RNAcentral describes it as "SSU rRNA". It matches the Rfam family "Eukaryotic small subunit ribosomal RNA", at positions 569 to 1092 of the family's 1831-position model. The record is from RNAcentral. Lineage: Eukaryota; Fungi; Glomeromycota; Glomeromycetes; Glomerales; Glomeraceae.
AGCAGCCGCGGUAAUUCCAGCUCCAAUAGCGUAUAUUAAAGUUGUUGCAGUUAAAAAGCUCGUAGUUGAAUUUCGGGACUAAUAUGUCGGUCGUACUUUGUACGUACUAGCAUUAUUGGUUUCUCCCUUCUGACGAACCACGAUGUCAUUAAUUUGGUGUCAUGGGAAAUCAGGACUGUUACUUUGAAAAAAUUAGAGUGUUUAAAGCAAGCUCGCGCUUGAAUACAUUAGCAUGGAAUAAUGAAAUAGGACGUUUGAUUCUAUUUUGUUGGUUUCUAGGAUCGACGUAAUGAUUAAUAGGGAUAGUUGGGGGCAUUAGUAUUCAAUUGUCAGAGGUGAAAUUCUUGGAUUUAUUGAAGACUAACUACUGCGAAAGCAUUUGCCAAGGAUGUUUUCAUUAAUCAAGAACGAAAGUUAGGGGAUCGAAGACGAUCAGAUACCGUCGUAGUCUUAACCAUGAACUAUGCCGACUAGGGAUCGGAUGAUGUUAAUUUUUAAUGACUCAUUCGGCGCCUUAAC